AACGAACGCUGGCGGCGCGCCUAACACAUGCAAGUCGAACGAGAAGGCGUAGCAAUACGCUUGUAGAGUGGCGAACGGGUGAGUAAUACGUGGGUGACCUACCCUCGAGUGGGGAAUAACCCGCCGAAAGGCGGGCUAAUGCCGCGUACGCUUCCGUCCUCACGGGGACGGAAGGAAAGCUGUACCGUGGGUACGGCGCUCAAGGAUGGGCUCACGUCCUAUCAGCUUGUUGGUAGGGUAACGCCUACCAAGGCUACGACGGGUAGCUGGUCUGAGAGGACGAUCAGCCACACUGGCACUGCGACACGGGCCAGACUCCUACGGGAGGCAGCAGUGAGGAAUAUUGCGCAAUGGGCGAAAGCCUGACGCAGCGACGCCGCGU
This 382-nucleotide ribosomal RNA is filed under the name uncultured bacterium. RNAcentral describes it as "bacterial SSU rRNA". It matches the Rfam family "Bacterial small subunit ribosomal RNA", at positions 29 to 402 of the family's 1533-position model. The record is from RNAcentral.